GGGUGUCACUUGCAUACCGCCGUGUGCUUAGGCACAAGUCAGCACAGAUACACACGCACAGACGCCUCCAAUGGGCACAGACAUGCACACACGUGUGUACCCACACAUCUCUCCAUGGCUCCGUCAUGAAGCACAGCACUGACCUCCACGGCCCAUAUCCCAGGACCCACAAACGGAUCCCCCCAGCUGUCUAACUGAGCGUUGCCUUGCUUCUAGGAGAGGGACCUAUGGGCCCCAGACCUCACAUCCCACUUGGCGCUGAUCAGCACCCUGGGGAGAUGAGGAAACUGAGGCGAAGAGGCUGCUCUGGAGGCUGUUCCUACAAAGCAGAAGUCAACUCCCUUCAACCCACCUGCCUUUAAAAGCACCAGUUGGUAAGCCUUUCCUCACCAACCCUUCCCACUUUGGGCAGCCUGAUCACCCACCAUCACCCAGCCCUGGAAAUCCCUCUUCUGGAAGCC
RNAcentral lists this long non-coding RNA (461 nucleotides) under Capra hircus (goat). Its description in RNAcentral is "lncRNA (ENSCHIG00000005140.1)". The record is from RNAcentral. Lineage: Eukaryota; Metazoa; Chordata; Mammalia; Artiodactyla; Bovidae.